UAUCUCUUGUUCUCAUCUUUUCCUGACAUCUGGAAAAGGCAUGUGAGGCCUGUCAUUGCCCUCUGCUUGUCAAAGGGCACUACACAUAUUUUCAGUUCUGCCAUAUUGAAACAGGAGUCCAGUGUAGAAGGUACAGAGAAAAGACUAAGGAAGUCAAGAGAAGACAGGGCCUUCACUAAGUCAUCUUACAACAUCGGAUGAGUGAUUCACAUUUUUCUCAUAAUAGCAUUUGCCUUCCAGUUUUAAAGUAUAAAGAAUGAAGGUAUCUUUACCAUUAGGAGAAUAUGUUUCUGUUAAAUGUGUGCCUAAAUGAUAAGGCAAAACUGUGAAUUUAACUACUAUUACUACUACUACUACUUAUUAUUAUUAUUGUUGUUGUUGUUGUUGUUGUUGUUGUUCUUGUUGUUAUUACUACUACUACUUAUUGUUAUUAUUAUUAUUAUUAUUAUUAUUAUUAAAUACUGUGCAGCAUUGGAAGUUCUGUGUUGCCUGGCUCGAUGAAAGUCUGUCAGUGGAAGAGUAUAGAACUUGGACUUAAAACUGAGGAUACCACCCUGUGUCUAUCAUAUGAAUAAAACUUGAUCAUUAGUAUUUUUAAAAGG
RNAcentral lists this long non-coding RNA (602 nucleotides) under Mus musculus (house mouse). RNAcentral describes it as "long non-coding RNA chr9:82028581-82029183". Lineage: Eukaryota; Metazoa; Chordata; Mammalia; Rodentia; Muridae. The record is from RNAcentral.